Long non-coding RNA from Sycon ciliatum, 882 nucleotides. RefSeq lists it as uncharacterized. The record is from RefSeq and is a predicted model, not a curated record. The transcript has 2 exons. NCBI's taxonomy places the organism in Eukaryota, Metazoa, Porifera, Calcarea, Leucosolenida, Sycettidae.
UUGUCCCUGCCCUUUUGGCACGUGUGUGCCCCUUUUGGCACGUGCAGGUUGCGCAUGCGUGCAUGCUUAUCGUGCGCAUCCUGAUUGUUUUGUGUGCCUUCUUCUUGAGACUCUCUUUGGAGCAUGAACGAUAAUCUGUUCUCUGAGUGUGGCGUCCGUGUGAUAUGAGAUAUCGAGAGUAAUCGGAAGGGCUAUCGUGCGAGGGAUUAAAACCCCCCGACGACAAUUGGCGCCCAGCUAGUGGCAUCGUUCCCCACGACCCUGAGAUCGUUUUCGUUUUCGCCGUGGCUUCAAAUCUUGCCUUCUCCACGCAUCCUCGCCAUGGCUCCGCUUUGCUCCAUCUGCUCAACCCUGACGUCGGAGCUCCUACUCAGCCCCAUCGGCUGCGUGAUGGUUUUCCGGACAACUCCUGGGCUGUCAGAUGACUGGUCACCCGGUUCAGCUGCCGCGGUCUUCGCCGUACCGUCGGUUUGCCUUGGCUUCGCACCAGGGCGAGGUGGUUGUUUUCCGGGGGCCCACGCCUGAAAGAUGGCGGUUCCCUCUAUGGGUGGGCCCAGUCUGUUUUCUUUCCACCCCUUUGCUUUGGCUUUUCCCCCGUUGUCCGGAGUUACUAAUGUAUCCUACUGUUUUGGCCCUGCGUAUCUGCAUGUGUAUGUUGUUCACAUUUGAUUUCUUCUUCUCCUGUCUGUCUUCUCGUUUUUUUUUUCUCUCCCAUCCUCAGGAGAGGAUGCAUUUUUUUUCGUGUGGAAAUAUGUUGUCCCUGCCCUUUUGGCACGUGUGUGCCCCUUUUGGCACGUGCAGGUUGCGCAUGCGUGCAUGCUUAUCGUGCGCAUCCUGAUUGUUUUGUGUGCCUUCUUCUUGAGACUCUCUUUGGAGCAUGAA